Bos taurus (domestic cattle) is the source of this 465-nucleotide long non-coding RNA. The record is from Ensembl. Lineage: Eukaryota; Metazoa; Chordata; Mammalia; Artiodactyla; Bovidae.
UGUCAAAUGGUUUGCUCCAUGCCAUCGUAUUUACACACAUACAGAUGUGUGCCUGGAGUGGCCUUCCUUGUACUAGUAGUUCAAGAACUCAAUUUCUGGGAAUUCUCUGGUGGUCCAGUGGUUAAGACUCUGGACUCUCACUGCCAAAGGCCCAGUGGAGAGAAGUGAAUUGGGUCUUGGAGCCACAGAUCAAAGUUCAUAUCCAGGCUUAGAAGAGUGCCGGACUCAUAAUAGACACUUGAUGAAGGUUGAAUGGAUAAAUGCAUUAAAGAUAAUUGGACAAUAGAAAUUUCACAGAGAUUAACACAUAAGGGGACCCUAAUCUAGCCUGGAUACCCUGAACUGAGUUGGAGUUCAUGAUUCUUAACUUACCUGUGGAUCUUUUAAAAACCACUCAUACAUGACCCCACUCCAUUCCAAUAAAAUCAAUUGGAAUGAUUGAUUGGGGUUGGUUGAGGCUGAGAU